This 360-nucleotide ribosomal RNA is filed under the name Thiobacillus sp. Its description in RNAcentral is "bacterial SSU rRNA". It matches the Rfam family "Bacterial small subunit ribosomal RNA", at positions 1 to 361 of the family's 1533-position model. The record is from RNAcentral. Lineage: Bacteria; Pseudomonadati; Pseudomonadota; Betaproteobacteria; Nitrosomonadales; Thiobacillaceae.
GAACUGAAGAGUUUGAUCCUGGCUCAGAUUGAACGCUGGCGGAAUGCUUUACACAUGCAAGUCGAACGGCAGCACGGGAGCUUGCUCCUGGUGGCGAGUGGCGAACGGGUGAGUAAUGCGUCGGAACGUACCGAGUAAUGGGGGAUAACGCAGCGAAAGGUGUGCUAAUACCGCAUACGCCCUGAGGGGGAAAGUGGGGGAUCGCAAGACCUCACGUUAUUCGAGCGGCCGACGUCUGAUUAGCUAGUUGGUGAGGUAAUGGCUCACCAAGGCGACGAUCAGUAGCGGGUCUGAGAGGAUGAUCCGCCACACUGGAACUGAGACACGGUCCAGACUCCUACGGGAGGCAGCAGUGGGGAA